Lontra canadensis (Northern American river otter) is the source of this 853-nucleotide long non-coding RNA. RefSeq lists it as uncharacterized. The transcript is spliced from 4 exons. Lineage: Eukaryota; Metazoa; Chordata; Mammalia; Carnivora; Mustelidae. The record is from RefSeq and is a predicted model, not a curated record.
AAAAUAUGAGAUAGGAAAAUGUAGACUAAGGGAUCUAGGGUACUGAUUAAUCAGGGAGGUCUCUCUAAGGAGCCAGCCAUGAUCUGUGGAUAAAGAAUUCCAAGCUGGUGCCUCUGAUAACACCAUCUAGUCUGAGAUAAAUGCAGGGUGUUCAAAGUUCAGAACUGAGGUAGUGUGGUUGGAGAGAAGUCGAUGAGCAAGGAGAGUAAAGUAGAAAAUAAGGUUGGAUGUGUCUAGAUCAUGAUGGAUGACAGAACUCAAGGAGAUUUUUAAUGUGUUAUAAAUGUGGAAAACCAUUUCAGGAUUUUAUGCAGGGAAAUGAAAGAACCUGUUUAUCUAUUAAAAAGGCAAUUUGGCUGGUGAAUGGAGAAAGGGGGAAAAUCAUCUGUGAGUACGAGGUCAAGAAGUGACCAUUGGUUUUAGCAAUGUGAAAAUCAUUGUGACCUUGGCAAGAGCUUGGCAAGAGCCUUUUUCCCAGAAGAAGCAACAAAUGAAUUUCCAUAGUCUUUGGUCAAAGAGAAAAUACAAGAUGAGGAAGUAGAAUCCAAGAACUACAUCUUUGUCUGCCAUAUCAUGAGAACACCUGUGCAGCCCAUGGAAAGGUACCUGCGGAAGAAACAAAGAUGUCCACACAAUAGCCCGGGACACAAGUGAUCCUGAAAGUGGAUCUUCCGGCCCCAGGUGACUGCAGCCCAGCCAACGACUUCCCUGCAACCUCAAGAGAAACAACACCCAGCUACGUGGCUCCUGGAUUUGUAACACCUGGAACCAGAAGAAAAGAAGACCUGGCUGGUGGAAAGAGACCUAAGAUUCUCCCUCUAAGAAGUGUCCUAUCUAAAAAAUCAUUGCCAAG